RNAcentral lists this ribosomal RNA (501 nucleotides) under uncultured bacterium. RNAcentral's name for it is "partial 16S ribosomal RNA". It matches the Rfam family "Bacterial small subunit ribosomal RNA", at positions 30 to 523 of the family's 1533-position model. The record is from RNAcentral.
AUUGAACGCUGGCGGCAGGCUUAACACAUGCAAGUCGAGCGGGGAGAUGUAGCUUGCUACAUUUCCUAGCGGCGGACGGGUGAGUAAUGCUUAGGAAUCUGCCUAUUAGUGGGGGACAACGUUUCGAAAGGAACGCUAAUACCGCAUACGCCCUACGGGGGAAAGCAGGGGAUCUUCGGACCUUGCGCUAAUAGAUGAGCCUAAGCCAGAUUAGCUAGUUGGUGGGGUAAAGGCCUACCAAGGCGACGAUCUGUAGCGGGUCUGAGAGGAUGAUCCGCCACACUGGGACUGAGACACGGCCCAGACUCCUACGGGAGGCAGCAGUGGGGAAUAUUGGACAAUGGGGGGAACCCUGAUCCAGCCAUGCCGCGUGUGUGAAGAAGGCCUUUUGGUUGUAAAGCACUUUAAGCGGGGAGGAGGCUACUAGUACUAAUAUUACUGGAUAGCGGACGUUACCCGCAGAAUAAGCACCGGCUAACUCUGUGUCAGCAGCCGCGGUAA